CUUCCUCAUGCGUGUCUCUGGAAAUUUAAAAAAAAAAACAGAGAGCUCGUGUGAGGUGGAGAAAUGGCCGAGAGAUGGAAAUGAGAGAGAGCAGGGCCGAGGCAUCACGAGAUCGGCCAAGAGAGAUCGAGCGAUUGAGAGAGUGAUCGCGAGGGAGAGAUGCAGAGAUGGCCGAUCGAGUGCAGCCAUGGCCGACGUGCGAGGGAGGCGGCAGCGAUUGGGAGGCUCACGUCAAGGCCUUACGAUAGAGGCUGAUGGUCGUGAGGAAGGCCAGCAUUGCAACAGCAGCAGGGAUCGGCGGUGCCAGCAGCUUCAAGAGGCUUUAGCCGUGACAUUGGAAGCUCCAGCGGCCGUCAAUGGCCGCUGGUUGUAAUGGGCCUGGUCGCGCAUAGGCAAGGCGCGCGAUGGUGCUAGCCGCCAACGGCGGCCGAUGUAGGGUUGGCGACGGUGGCGCGAGCAGUAGUGACGGUAGGCGGCAGGCGGCUGGAGGAGCUGGCGCAGGUCAGCCAUGGUAGAAGAAGAAGACGAACGCGUGAAGAAGAAGAACAGUGGAGGUGAAGAAGAAAGGAGAAAAGAAAAGAAAAAUAAAAGAAAAGAAAAUAAUAAAAAAUGAGAAAAUAAGGGGAAAAUAGCUAGAAAAUCUCCAAAAAAUGGGAGAAAAGUCUGGAAAGUAUUUUGGGGCUCGAUGGGCGUGCCAGAAGCUCGGAAAUGGGGUUUUGAUCACAAGGCGGCCUCCCAUGAGUCAUUGUCGGGUUGGGCAUUUUUUGAAUUUGUCCUCCAGAUUGGUUGAGGUUCGACUGAGAAAGCAGUGAUCCUAGAAGAGCUCGGAGUUCGGGCUGGCGUUCUUGCCGAUGCAGAGAUGAGGCUUCGAGCCAGGUGUUGAAAGCCUCAAGGGAAAGGUGAAAUGGGAGGGAAAUGGCUAUAUAUUUUGGUUGAAAUGUAAAAUAAAUUAUGUUUCAUUUUGGUUUCAUGUGUAUGAACCUCCACAAAUAAGGUUAGAUGUAAUAUUUUCCACUUUAUUGUGUAAGCCUUGUAGAAGAAGAAGAUGGAUAUUUUCUUGUAAGCUUUUGUGGCAAAUUUGUGGAUGGUUGAUGUAUGUUAUGGAAACAUCAAGAGCAUGGUUUAAGCCUUGAUUUUGGAGAAAUAGAGGCUAAAAAUUGAAGGAAAAUGAAGUUUAUUUAUUCAUUUUAAUUUCUGGAAAUUUUGGGUUAGGAGGCCCAAGAAGAAGAGAAAAAAAAAAAGAAAAAAAAAAGAAUAGAAGUGAAGGAGCAGCCAGCGGCCAGCAGCUGCAGCAGGCAGCAAGGCGGCCGCGCCCGCAGCCAGCCGCGCUGGCGCGCGCGGCAUGCCC
Long non-coding RNA from Diospyros lotus (date-plum), 1348 nucleotides. RefSeq lists it as uncharacterized. The record is from RefSeq and is a predicted model, not a curated record. The transcript is spliced from 3 exons. Lineage: Eukaryota; Viridiplantae; Streptophyta; Magnoliopsida; Ericales; Ebenaceae.